RNAcentral lists this ribosomal RNA (254 nucleotides) under uncultured bacterium. Its description in RNAcentral is "partial 16S ribosomal RNA". It matches the Rfam family "Bacterial small subunit ribosomal RNA", at positions 524 to 776 of the family's 1533-position model. The record is from RNAcentral.
UACGUAGGGUGCGAGCGUUGCCCGGAUUUAUUGGGCGUAAAGGGCGCGUAGGCGGUCACGCACGUCCGUUGUGAAAUCGCUCGGCUCAACUGGGCGGGGUCAGCGGAUACGGCGUGGCUGGAGCAAGCUAGGGGGCAAUGGAAUUCCCGGUGUAGUGGUGGAAUGCGUAGAUAUCGGGAGGAACACCAGUGGCGAAGGCGGUUGCCUGGAGCUUUGGCUGACGCUGAUGCGCGAAAGCGUGGGGAGCGAACAGG